CUGAACCGAAGGCAGAGGCUUUAACUCACUGAGCCACCCAGGCGCCCCAAUUAAUUCUAUUCUUAAAUAACCACCAUUAUUUGCCAGUAGGAUAUAGGUGCGCCCCAGCCCUGCACAACUUCUGACACCUUGGAAUCAGUGUGGACACCACCACCUUCAUUUCCUGCCCCAUAUCAGUAUUUUGUGUGUGAUACUCACUCUUUAGCACAACAGUCAAAAACUCAGCUUCAAAAAGAUAAGACAUCCUGAAAUUGUAAACCGCCUGGCGCUGGUAGUAUCAAGUAUUGCUGUGUUUCCCUCAGAAAUGUAAAAUAUCCCACGGCACCCCAGGGUUCCUUGGUGCACAGUUUGGGAAGCGUAGCUUUAAUGCACUCUUAAUUGUGUUAAAGAACAGUAGGGAGGAGCCUGGAGAAGACUUCUGAUUGGGAGCCAAGGGAUGCUUUUACUUUGUGACCUCAGCCGGUUGCCAGGGUCUUGGGACCCUUUUCUGACCAGAGCAGGGACUGAUGAGGGAACAGUAGGCAAGCUGAGGAUAAAGCAGAAGUUGAAACCCCACAGCCCUGCCCCCUCAGAUGGGAUAUGUGUGCCAUUCCUCACUCCUGGCUGUCCUAAAGCUAAGAUGUCAUCAGCUCCCAAAAGCCUGAACCAGGAGGGAGAUCCCUGCCCAAGGUCACUAUUUUAAUGCUGGGGCUCAAAUGUUAUCCAGAAACUUUCACCUUCAUCUGAGGAGCAAAAGAAAAUGGAGUCAGCAGAAUGGCAACUACUCUUAUUCUUUUGAGGGGACAACCAUAUGGAAUGACUUACCCUUAAGGAUGGAAAUUCCAAACCCAGAGGCUGACAUGUGUCCCUAAAACAAGAGCCGCACCUCGGAAUCUCACCUCAAUAUCAGGAUGAAUCACUGGUCCCACCCACCCAACUCAGCUGUCCCCCUCUCCCCUAAUCAAUGAGACCUCAGGGGUUCUACCAAACCUAUCUUGUGAGAAUCAGAUUCAAGAACAUCCAGCCAUUAAUCCCCAACGUCUCCCUUGGGUUGACAGUUUCACUAUUCUUGAUUUUAGCUCUAUCGUUAAAUUUAAAAUAAACCAAACAC
Molecule: long non-coding RNA, 1090 nt
Filed under: Mustela putorius furo (domestic ferret)
Lineage: Eukaryota; Metazoa; Chordata; Mammalia; Carnivora; Mustelidae
Description: lncRNA (ENSMPUG00000027165.1)
Source: RNAcentral